Molecule: ribosomal RNA, 1421 nt
Filed under: uncultured bacterium
Lineage: Bacteria
Description: bacterial SSU rRNA
Rfam family: Bacterial small subunit ribosomal RNA
Source: RNAcentral
AACGAACGCUGGCGGCAGGCCUAAUACAUGCAAGUCGCACGAGAAAGCGGGAGCAAUCUCGCAAGUAAAGUGGCGUACGGGUGAGUAACACGUGGAUCAUCUACCCUGGAGUGGGGAAUAACGCUGGGAAACCGGCGCUAAUACCGCAUAUACCCGAGAGGGGAAAGCAGCAAUGCGCUCGAGGAGGAGUCCGCGGCCGAUUAGCUAGUUGGCAGGGUAAAAGCCUACCAAGGCUGUGAUCGGUAGCCGGCCUGAGAGGGCACACGGCCACACUGGCACUGAAACACGGGCCAGACUCCUACGGGAGGCAGCAGUGGGGAAUCUUGCACAAUGGGGGAAACCCUGAUGCAGCGACGCCGCGUGAGCGAUGAAGCCCUUCGGGGUGUAAAGCUCUUUCGGCAGGGAAGAUUAUGACGGUACCUGCAGAAGCAGCUGCGGCUAACUACGUGCCAGCAGCCGCGGUAAUACGUAGGCAGCAAGCGUUGUUCGGAGUUACUGGGCGUAAAGGGUGUGUAGGUGGCGCGCUAAGUUCCGUGUGAAAUCUCCCGGCUCAACCGGGAGGGUGCGCGGAAAACUGGCGGGCUAGAGUACGGGAUGGGAGAGUAGAAUUCCUGGUGUAGCGGUGAAAUGCGUAGAUAUCAGGAGGAAUACCGGUGGUGUAGACGGCUCUCUGGACCGUAACUGACACUGAAACACGAAAGCGUGGGUAGCAAACAGGAUUAGAUACCCUGGUAGUCCACGCCCUAAACGAUGCAUAUUUGGUGUAGGUCAUUCAGUUGAUCUGUGCCGGAGCUAACGCGUUAAAUAUGCCGCCUGGGGAGUACAGUCGCAAGGCUGAAACUCAAAGGAAUUGACGGGGGCCCGCACAAGCGGUGGAGCAUGUGGUUUAAUUCGAUGCAACGCGAAGAAUCUUACCUGGCCUUGACAUCCCAGGAACCCUGAAGAGAUUUAGGGGUGCCGCAAGGAACCUGGAGACAGGUGCUGCAUGGCUGUCGUCAGCUCGUGUCGUGAGAUGUUGGGUUAAGUCCCGCAACGAGCGCAACCCUUGUCCUUAGUUGCCAUCAUUUAGUUGGGCACUCUAAGGAGACCGCCGGUGACAAACCGGAGGAAGGUGGGGAUGACGUCAAGUCAUCAUGGCCUUUAUGGCCAGGGCUACACACGUGUUACAAUGCAGGGUACAAACCGUUGCCAACCCGCGAGGGGGAGCUAAUCGGAAAAAACUCUGCUCAGUUCGGAUUGCAGUCUGCAACUCGACUGCAUGAAGCCGGAAUCGCUAGUAAUGGCGUAUCAGAUCGACGCCGUGAAUACGUUCCCGGGCCUUGUACACACCGCCCGUCACAUCACGAAAGUGAGUUGUACUAGAAGUCGUCACGCUGACCGCAAGGAGGCAGACGCCCAAGGUAUGACUCAUGAUUGGGGUG